This 362-nucleotide long non-coding RNA is filed under the name Gouania willdenowi (blunt-snouted clingfish). Its description in RNAcentral is "lncRNA (ENSGWIG00000001585.1)". The record is from RNAcentral. Lineage: Eukaryota; Metazoa; Chordata; Actinopteri; Blenniiformes; Gobiesocidae.
CUCCACCACCGUACUGGGAGACAACCAACCAGUCAGUCUGGCUGUUCGUUUCCAGCUCCAGCACAAAGUACAGAGUUCCCUGGACACUGUGUACGACCCCGUGUGUGCGUUCUGGGAUUUUGAUCUCCUGCCUGAGGCAGGAGGCUGGUGGAGCACCAAAGGCUGCGAGGUGGUGUCCAAACAUCACAGACACACCGUGUGCCGCUGCAAUCACACCACCAACUUUGCUCUGUUGCUGCAGGUGUACGAAGCUCAGGUGAAGCAUCGCCAUCUUCAGUCAUCCCACUGCGGUUAUUCUUUGUUCUGUGUACAGCUACACAAUAAAACCACCAGUGGUAACAUUAGACUAAAAACAGGAGUUA